GAACCUCGGUUUUACAUAGUUUUAGAUGGCCUUAUAGCACUAUGAGGGUUCUCAAUAGAAGAUAUGCAGGCCAACUUUGAACAUUAGAAAUACAUGGGGAGCAUUUGGUUCUUUGGGUCAUUUAAAUAGUGUGUGUGUAUAUAUUGUAACUACUGUAUGCAUAAUGGAAGUAUUUCCUCUAAAUGUAACUAAUGAGACUGCCUACUGGUACAA
Molecule: long non-coding RNA, 213 nt
Organism: Hibiscus syriacus
Lineage: Eukaryota; Viridiplantae; Streptophyta; Magnoliopsida; Malvales; Malvaceae
Exons: 3
Source: RefSeq, a predicted model, not a curated record